Molecule: small RNA, 92 nt
Filed under: Brucella intermedia
Lineage: Bacteria; Pseudomonadati; Pseudomonadota; Alphaproteobacteria; Hyphomicrobiales; Brucellaceae
Description: sRNA Atu_Ti1
Rfam family: Rhizobiales sRNA Atu_Ti1
Source: RNAcentral
GUCCAUGUUGCGGCGGACCAGAGCCAGAAGCACGCGAGGGUGAUGGCCGCAGCGGGCCAGUAUCGCGAUGUCAUAAUAGAAAGGCCUGCGGC